RNAcentral lists this long non-coding RNA (1227 nucleotides) under Bemisia tabaci. RNAcentral's name for it is "lncRNA ENSSSA1UGG008624". The record is from RNAcentral. Lineage: Eukaryota; Metazoa; Arthropoda; Insecta; Hemiptera; Aleyrodidae.
CAGCUGUAUGUUACAUACGGUGCUACGUAGGUAUAUGUGAAAAACAGUCUGUUGCCUUCCAGGCUCCUGUGUUGGAAGUACUAAUCUCUACCGUCCAUUUAUUUGAGAUAUUCUUACUUUCUUGUUUGUUUGUUUGUUACUUUGUUUUAUAUUUUAUUUCAUUAACUUUCAAGAGAACUUGAUGAUUGACAUCUUAAAAGAUAGAAAUAAUUUGUACAAUUACCGAGCGAACAUUGAUGGGUAAGAUGGGAUUCAUUCAUUCGGAAACGGGCUUUUGCAAACCACCACCAAACAGUCUGAACGCAGCCCUCAAUCUGAUACUGCAGGAUAUUUUAUAUUUUACCCAAAAACUGACGAAAGAGCUUGAGUUUGUAAACGAUGGAGUAGCCAAAUGGAAAAAAAGAUAAUGACAUUACUUCAAAAGACCAUUUAAGAGGAAUGAAAAUCGAAGAUGUGGAGCAUCUACUUACGCUCGGCCAAAAAAUUAACUUCCGUGGUAAAUUGGAGGCAUUUCAUCAACUGAAUAAUAAAUUCGAUAAAUUGAGUAAACAAACUAAUUAAAAUUAGGAUUCAGAUAAAGGUUAAAUAAAAUUUAUAAAUUCUAGAAACCUUUUCGAUAAUAAUUACGAUUUUAGAUUUCCUUUCCUUUUCCUUUAUUUUCCUUUUCGAUUUUAGUAGUAAUUGAAGUAUUACAGGUUUGUAGAUUGAAUUAAUUCCGAUCCGUUUUAUACAUUUUUCAAUUUUGAACACAAAAUGAGUCCGGUGUGAAGUUUUGAAAAACCGAAAAAAGUUUUGAAAUACUCUGGAAUGUAACACACCCUAUUCUAGUCCCCUCGACUGAAUCAAGCUGCUUUGCCAUUUGAUGUUUAGGCUGCUUUGCUACUCAGACAUCGGUUAAUUAUGCAACAUCUCACAUUAAUAUAACGAUGGAACUAAAGAGACAUAUGUAUGUUGUGUUCGUUUAGAUAUCUCUCUUCGUGAAUUGAGCUAAUGCGGGUCAGCCUGCCAACUCACCCCAUGAAUCGUUCUGUUUCUGGAGAGUUAGGGCCCCAGGGUUAAAAUCCUGCACCUGAAAAAUUUCGAAAAGUAGGUACCCCUUCAAAAAAAGAAGAAUAAAGCAUAAGAUCGAAUUCGAAUUCAAAUUCGUCCAGGACAUUUUCAUGACACGGUGAGAGCGUUGAUGUUCCUUCCGUUCCCCAACAAGUGACAGGACGCAACGGAUGGCGU